RNAcentral lists this small RNA (463 nucleotides) under Pongo abelii (Sumatran orangutan). RNAcentral describes it as "retained intron". The record is from RNAcentral. Lineage: Eukaryota; Metazoa; Chordata; Mammalia; Primates; Hominidae.
AUAUUAGCAACAUUUGUGAAUUGUCUUCACAAUAGUCUUCAACAAGAUAAAAUGUCAACAGAAAGAAGAAAAUUAUUGAUGGAGCACAUCUUCAAACUACAGGAGUUUUGUAACAGCAUGGUUAAACUCUGCAUUGAUGGAUAUGAAUAUGCCUACCUGAAGGCAAUAGUACUCUUCAGUCCAGGUAUAUAAACAUUUACUUUUUAUUCAAAACAAAAUGUUUCACGAUGUGGAGAAAUAGAAGCCCUCAUAUGUUGCAAGUGGGGAUGUAAAAUGGUGCAGUUGCCUUGGAAGAGUUCAGUAGUUCUUCAAAAGGUUAAACAUGGAGUUAUCAUAUGACUCAGCAGCUUCACUCUUGUCAGCCCAAGAGAAAUGAAAAAUAUAUAUCUAUGCAAGAAUGUGUAUAUAAAUAGUCAUAGCAGCAUUAUUUAUAAUAGUCAAAAAAUGGAGACAACCCAAAUGU